Long non-coding RNA from Brachypodium distachyon (stiff brome), 267 nucleotides. RefSeq lists it as uncharacterized. NCBI's taxonomy places the organism in Eukaryota, Viridiplantae, Streptophyta, Magnoliopsida, Poales, Poaceae. The transcript is spliced from 3 exons. The record is from RefSeq and is a predicted model, not a curated record.
GGAAAAGGGAAGCUGGUACUUCGUUUUUCAGGACGACGGAAUAUAUUUGUGAAAUAAAAUAAAAUACCGCUUGUACUGCUGAGGAAGACGCCUGUUUUCUGAUUUUGCAGAAACAUUGCAGGUGGCUUGUACAGCUCCUUAUGGCUCUUGAUUACUUGCAUGGAAAUCACAUUCUUCACCGAGAUGUGAAGUGCUCCAAUAUUUUUAUUUCCAGGAGCCAAACUAUAAGACUUGGCUUGCAAAAAAUAUUGACUUCUGAUGAUCUGG